GACGAACGCUGGCGGCGUGCUUAACACAUGCAAGUCGUACGGUAAGGCCCUUUCGGGGGUACACGAGUGGCGAACGGGUGAGUAACACGUGAGUAACCUGCCCACAACUUUGGGAUAACGCUAGGAAACUGGUGCUAAUACUGGAUAUGUGCUCCUGCUGCAUGGUGGGGGUUGGAAAGCCCCGGCGGUUGUGGAUGGACUCGCGGCCUAUCAGCUUGUUGGUGGGGUAGUGGCCUACCAAGGCGGCGACGGGUAGCCGGCCUGAGAGGGUGACCGGCCACAUUGGGACUGAGAUACGGCCCAGACUCCUACGGGAGGCAGCAGGGGGGAAUAUUGCACAAGGGGCGCAAGCCUGAUGCAGCAACGCCGCGUGCGGGAUGACGGCCUUCGGGUUGUAAACCGCUUUCAGCAGGGACGAAGCUUUUUGUGACGGUACCUGCAGAAGAAGCACCGGCUAACUACGUG
RNAcentral lists this ribosomal RNA (465 nucleotides) under uncultured bacterium. Its description in RNAcentral is "partial 16S ribosomal RNA". It matches the Rfam family "Bacterial small subunit ribosomal RNA", at positions 28 to 507 of the family's 1533-position model. The record is from RNAcentral.